RNAcentral lists this transfer RNA (64 nucleotides) under Pantanalinema sp. GBBB05. Its description in RNAcentral is "tRNA-Lys". It matches the Rfam family "tRNA", at positions 9 to 71 of the family's 71-position model. From Rfam's summary of the family: Transfer RNA (tRNA) molecules are approximately 80 nucleotides in length. The record is from RNAcentral. Lineage: Bacteria; Bacillati; Cyanobacteriota; Cyanophyceae; Leptolyngbyales; Leptolyngbyaceae.
GGCAGAGCGGUUAUGCAACCGCCUUUUAAGCGGAGAGAUCCAGGUUCAACCCCUGGGCGACCCA